AUUCACUAACGCCGUACAGCCUCCUGCUAGUGAAAACCGACAGGUCUAGCCCUGAAAGCAGUGUGAGUAUUCACUAACGCCGUACAGCCUCCUGCUAGUGAAAACCGUCAGGUCUAGCCCUGAAAGCAGUGUGAGUAUUCACUAACGCCGUACAGCCUCCUGCUAGUGAAAACCGUCAGGUCUAGCCCUGAAAGCAGUGUGAGUAUUCACUAACGCCGUACAGCUCAAUCUGUGCUGUGAUUUGUUUAAACAACUCAUCAUUUAAACAAACAUUCUACAUUACCACGGAAAUGAUUGCAUCACAAUACCAGGUAGAAAUGCGCGAGUGAACCCUUGAGUUCACCAGUCAAAUUGCCAAGGGUUUGAAGUUCCUAUCCCCAUUCUAUGCAUUAUAUUUCUAUGGUAAUUUUAUGACAGAAAUGUUCCUGGAACGUCAGCAGCAUGACGUCGAUGCAAAAUCCCAGGAUGUACAAAUAAGAAUUGAAUGUAGAGGGUGAGAACAAUUUUACAUGCAUAUUAUGAAUUAAUAUUUCAUUUAUUUAUGCCUUAGGACGACAAGAACAGCACAUUAUGGGUGACAUUUUCUGUCCGCAAAACAGCCCUCGCAACACACAGCUUCUUCGCUAGAUAAACAAACAUCUGAAUCAGACAGUUUGGUGAUUCAUACUAAAAGAGUUUGGAAUACUGCAGCUGCAUAAAUGUUCACUGCCAUUGCUAAGGACAUCCUAAAAAGGAAAAGUUACAAUAUUGUAAGGUAUUUUUUGCUGAGUUUAGUGACGUUUUUUUUGCGGACUGAAAAUGUGGAGAGUAGUGGCAAGUAGUGUUCCCAUCCUGCUUUUUCGUCUAUGCACCUUUUAAAAGGCACUGUUCCUGCGUUCACGGAGAUCACAUUCACGGUAAACACUGCACACAUCGGCUAAAUCUUUACAUGGCAAUCAGACCGAAUCCUGGCCUUAGUGUGAAUCAGAGUGCUGGAGAAUAUCAGGCAGGAGGCAGGCAGGAGGGUAAGAACACUCUAUAUAGAUAAACAUGUUCCUUUCAUCAAUGUUUCUUUUACAUUUGGUCCUAAAGUUAAAAGCACAGCCUCAUUCUCCAAGCACUCAGAGAGAGAGAGAGAGAGAGAGAGAGAGAGAGAGAGAGAGAGAGAGAGAGAGAGAGAGAGAGAGAGAGAGAGAGAGAGAACUCAGAUAGACGGAUUAGCAAUUUGAAGUGUUUCAUAAGGAGUGCAUGUGUGUGUGUGUGUGUGUGUGUGUGUGUGUGUGUGUGUGAGAGAGAGAGAGAGUUGUUCUAUGAAUCAGAGGGCUUACAGAGAGUGGUCAAAUGGCUUUGUAAGUGAAUGCAUUUGUGAGUAUGUGUGGAGGGAGGUAGGGAGGGAGGGAGG
This 1381-nucleotide long non-coding RNA is filed under the name Salmo salar (Atlantic salmon). Its description in RNAcentral is "lncRNA (ENSSSAG00000107025.1, ENSSSAG00000112275.1)". Lineage: Eukaryota; Metazoa; Chordata; Actinopteri; Salmoniformes; Salmonidae. The record is from RNAcentral.